CCUACGGGAGGCAGCAGUGGGGGAUAUUGCACAAUGGGGGGAACCCUGAUGCAGCGACGCCGCGUGGGUGAAGGAGUGCUUCGGCAUGUAAAGUCCUAUCGGCAGGGAAGAAGCAAGACGGUACCUGACUAAGAAGCCCCGGCUAACUACGUGCCAGCAGCCGCGGUAAUACGUAGGGGGCGAGCGUUAUCCGGAUUCACUGGGUGUAAAGGGAGCGUAGACGGCCAUGCAAGCCAGGGGGGAAAGCCCGGGGCCCAACCCCGGGACUGCCCUUGGAACUGUGCGGCUAGAGUGCGGGAGGCGCAGGCGGAAUUCCUGGUGUAGCGGUGAAAUGCGUAGAUAUCAGGAGGAACACCGGCGGCGAAGGCGGCCUGCUGGACCGCGACUGACGUUGAGGCUCGAAAGCGUGGGGAGCGAACAGGAUUAGAUACCCGGGUAGUC
Molecule: ribosomal RNA, 441 nt
Filed under: uncultured bacterium
Lineage: Bacteria
Description: partial 16S ribosomal RNA
Rfam family: Bacterial small subunit ribosomal RNA
Source: RNAcentral